Mycena epipterygia is the source of this 90-nucleotide non-coding RNA. NCBI's taxonomy places the organism in Eukaryota, Fungi, Basidiomycota, Agaricomycetes, Agaricales, Mycenaceae. The record is from the annotation of a GenBank genome assembly.
AGCAGUAUGGUGUAGUGCGCACACGGGGUCUCCUUGAAGCUCAAUAAGAUGUGCCCCCCCGAGGUCCUUGUUCGAGUCAAGGUGCUGCUG